Molecule: ribosomal RNA, 234 nt
Filed under: uncultured Actinomycetales bacterium
Lineage: Bacteria; Bacillati; Actinomycetota; Actinomycetes; Actinomycetales
Description: partial 16S ribosomal RNA
Rfam family: Bacterial small subunit ribosomal RNA
Source: RNAcentral
GGCGAACGGGUGAGUAGCACGUGGGUGAUCUGCCUUGCACUCUGGGAUAAGCUUGGGAAACUGAGUCUAAUACCGGAUAGGAACCGUCUUUAGUGUGGUGGUUGGAAAGUUUUUUCGGUGCAAGAUGAGCUCGCGGCCUAUCAGCUUGUUGGUGGGGUAAUGGCCUACCAAGGCGUCGACGGGUAGCCGGCCUGAGAGGGUGUACGGCCACAUUGGGACUGAGAUACGGCCCAG